UGGGGAAUUUUGGACAAUGGGCGAAAGCCUGAUCCAGCCAUGCCGCGUGAGUGAAGAAGGCCUUCGGGUUGUAAAGCUCUUUUAGUCGGAAAGAAAGAGUUGCAAUGAAUAAUUGUGAUUUAUGACGGUACCGACAGAAAAAGCACCGGCUAACUACGUGCCAGCAGCCGCGGUAAUACGUAGGGUGCGAGCGUUAAUCGAAAUUACUGGGCGUAAAGGGUGCGCAGGCGGUCUUGCAAGUCAGAUGUGAAAGCCCCGGGCUUAACCUGGGAAUUGCGUUUGAAACUACAAGGCUAGAGUGCAGCAGAGGGGAGUGGAAUUCCAUGUGUAGCAGUGAAAUGCGUAGAGAUGUGGAAGAACACCGAUGGCGAAGGCAGCUCCCUGGGUUGACACUGACGCUCAUGCACGAAAGCGUGGGGAGCAAACA
Molecule: ribosomal RNA, 427 nt
Filed under: uncultured beta proteobacterium
Lineage: Bacteria; Pseudomonadati; Pseudomonadota; Betaproteobacteria
Description: bacterial SSU rRNA
Rfam family: Bacterial small subunit ribosomal RNA
Source: RNAcentral